AAAGAGAACUAAUUUACCCCAAAUCACACAGAAAUUAGGAGCUGGAGUGUCCACCUGGGGUCGCGAAUCUGUGACUAGGAAGCAGUCAUUCCCAGCCAGAGGUGGUGCCGACCCACAGCGGAUAUUUGUUGGUGCUUGGAAAAGGCAACAUUACCUGCUCCGGCUCAGUAAGGGGGUGUGACCUGCUCCACGCAGCUGACUUCCGUGGGCUCCGAGUCUCGCAGUGCUCAGGACGGCGCCUCCACGGGGAAUCACUGGGUCACAAAUGUCGAAAGAAGUGUCGAGAUAUUUUCUUUUUCCAUGUGAAGAAGCCAGGACCUGUCCACCGGUAUUCAAUUCAGAUCAAUGAAUGAGGAUUUUGCAGAAUCUAAAAUGGUUAAACGUGUGAUUAGCAAUCUUAGAGAAACCUCCGGUGGAAGGGAACACAUUGGAAGUAACGUGUCCUCCCAUCAAUAAACAGGGAUUAAAUUAAAUUUGAGUACA
RNAcentral lists this long non-coding RNA (483 nucleotides) under Oryctolagus cuniculus (rabbit). Its description in RNAcentral is "lncRNA (ENSOCUG00000035622.1)". The record is from RNAcentral. Lineage: Eukaryota; Metazoa; Chordata; Mammalia; Lagomorpha; Leporidae.